GACGAACGCUGGCGGCGUGCUUAACACAUGCAAGUCGAGCGGUAAGGCCCUUUCGGGGGUACACGAGCGGCGAACGGGUGAGUAACACGUGGGUGACCUGCCCUCAGCUCUGGGAUAAGCCUGGGAAACUGGGUCUAAUACUGGAUAUGACUCCACGGUGCAUGUCGUGGGGUGGAAAGCCUUGUGCGGCUGAGGAUGGGCCCGCGGCCUAUCAGCUUGUUGGUGGGGNGAUGGCCUACCAAGGCGACGACGGGUAGCUGGUCUGAGAGGAUGAUCAGCCACAUUGGGACUGAGACACGGCCCAAACUCCUACGGGAGGCAGCAGUGGGGAAUAUUGGACAAUGGGCGAAAGCCUGAUCCAGCCAUGCCGCGUGAGUGAUGAAGGCCUUAGGGUU
This 395-nucleotide ribosomal RNA is filed under the name uncultured bacterium. RNAcentral's name for it is "bacterial SSU rRNA". It matches the Rfam family "Bacterial small subunit ribosomal RNA", at positions 28 to 424 of the family's 1533-position model. The record is from RNAcentral.